GGACUACUCGGGUAUCUAAUCCUGUUUGCUCCCCACGCUUUCGCGCCUUAGCGUCAGUAUCGAGCCAGAAAGUCGCCUUCGCCACUGGUGUUCCUACGAAUAUCUACGAAUUUCACCUCUACACUCGUAAUUCCACUUUCCUCUCUCGAUCUCUAGUCUCACAGUCUCAAAUGCAGUUCCCAGGUUAAGCCCGGGGCUUUCACAUCUGACUUGUAAAACCGCCUACGCGCCCUUUACGCCCAGUAAUUCCGAACAACGCUAGCUCCCUUCGUAUUACCGCGGCUGCUGGCAC
RNAcentral lists this ribosomal RNA (292 nucleotides) under uncultured bacterium. RNAcentral's name for it is "partial 16S ribosomal RNA". The record is from RNAcentral.